Molecule: ribosomal RNA, 445 nt
Filed under: uncultured bacterium
Lineage: Bacteria
Description: bacterial SSU rRNA
Rfam family: Bacterial small subunit ribosomal RNA
Source: RNAcentral
GCCAGACUCCUACGGGAGGCAGCAGUGGGGAAUAUUGCACAAUGGGGGAAACCCCGAUGCAGCGACGCCGCGUGAGCGAUGAAGUAUUUCGGUAUGUAAAGCUCUAUCAGCAGGGAAGAAAAUGACGGUACCUGACUAAGAAGCCCCGGCUAACUACGUGCCAGCAGCCGCGGUAAUACGUAGGGGGCACGCGUUAUCCGGAUUUACUGGGCGUAAAGGGAGCGUAGACGGUCCUGCAAGCCAGAUGUGAAGGCCCGGGGCUCAACCCCGGGACUGCAUUUGGAACUGUAAGGCUAGAGUGUCGGAGAGGCAGGCGGAAUUCCUAGUGUAGCGGUGAAAUGCGUAGAUAUUAGGAGGAACACCGGCGGCGAAGGCGGCCCGCUGGACCGUAACUGACGUUGAGGCUCGAGAGCGUGGGGAGCAAACAGGAUUAGAUCCCCCAGUA